RNAcentral lists this unclassified non-coding RNA (218 nucleotides) under Hevea brasiliensis (rubber tree). The record is from RNAcentral. Lineage: Eukaryota; Viridiplantae; Streptophyta; Magnoliopsida; Malpighiales; Euphorbiaceae.
CUACCUCCCAGGUUCCUCAAAAAAUUUCCAGUGAUUGAAUACGAUGUUGAAAAAUCAACAUAACUUAGUUUGCGAAAUCCCUUCACAAGUAUGCGAACUUUUACAAUCAUGCAGCUUAAACCCUCUGAGAGCCAGUGAGGUUAAUUUUGGGCAAUUAUUUACUAGAUCCACACAGGUUGGCGAUUUCAGACUCUCAUCUCUUCCUGUUUUUGAAGACU